CCUACGGGCGGCUGCAGUGGGGAAUAUUGGACAAUGGGGGCAACCCUGAUCCAGCCAUGCCGCGUGUGUGAAGAAGGCCCUCGGGUUGUAAAGCACUUUCAGUGAGGAAGAACGCCUGGUGGUUAAUACCCAUCAGGAAAGACAUCACUCACAGAAGAAGCACCGGCUAACUCCGUGCCAGCAGCCGCGGUAAUACGGAGGGUGCGAGCGUUAAUCGGAAUUACUGGGCGUAAAGCGCGCGUAGGUGGCUUGAUAAGCCGGUUGUGAAAGCCCCGGGCUCAACCUGGGAACGGCAUCCGGAACUGUCAAGCUAGAGUGCAGGAGAGGAAGGUAGAUUUCCCGGUGUAGCGGUGAAAUGCGUAGAGAUCGGGAGGAAUACCAGUGGCGAAGGCGGCCUUCUGGACUGACACUGACACUGAGGUGCGAAAGCGUGGGUAGCAAACAGGAUUAGAUACCCGUGUAGUC
RNAcentral lists this ribosomal RNA (465 nucleotides) under Vreelandella stevensii. RNAcentral describes it as "partial 16S ribosomal RNA". It matches the Rfam family "Bacterial small subunit ribosomal RNA", at positions 338 to 795 of the family's 1533-position model. The record is from RNAcentral. Lineage: Bacteria; Pseudomonadati; Pseudomonadota; Gammaproteobacteria; Oceanospirillales; Halomonadaceae.